CCAGCAGCUGCGUUAAUUCCGGCUCCCAUAGCGUAUAUUCAAGUUGGUGCAGUUAAAAAGCUCGUAGUUGGAUUUCUGGUAGGAUGACUGUGCCCUCAGUAGAGCGUGCGCAGGCGUCUUGCCAUCCUUCUGUUAACCUUUGAGAGCUUCAUCGCUCUCUUUGGGGCUCAGAUAUUUUACCUUGAGAAAAUUAGAGUGUUUCAGGCAGGCUAGCGCCGGAAUACAUUAGCAUGGAAUAAUAGAAUAGGACCUUUGCCUCUUCUGUUGGUCAUGGCGUUCGAGUAAUGACUAAUAGGGAUAGUUGGGGUCAUUAGUACUUCACUGUCAGAGGUGAAAUUCUCGGAUUUGUGAAAGACUAACUUAUGCGAAAGCAUUUGCCAAGGAUGUUUUCAUCAAUAAAGAACGAAAGU
This 410-nucleotide ribosomal RNA is filed under the name uncultured eukaryote. Its description in RNAcentral is "SSU rRNA". It matches the Rfam family "Eukaryotic small subunit ribosomal RNA", at positions 567 to 990 of the family's 1831-position model. The record is from RNAcentral.